This is an RNA transcript of Mangifera indica (mango), 2477 nucleotides long. RefSeq lists it as uncharacterized. NCBI's taxonomy places the organism in Eukaryota, Viridiplantae, Streptophyta, Magnoliopsida, Sapindales, Anacardiaceae. The record is from RefSeq and is a predicted model, not a curated record. The transcript has 7 exons.
UGGUCUUUAAUGAAAUCGACUUGUUUUUCUUUUGAAAAGCCUGGAGAAAAAUGAACCCCUACGAUGAGCGGAGACUGAGAGAUGAAGUGAUUUAUCUUCAUUCUCUGUGGCGUCAAGGCCCUUCCAGAAACCCAGACCCACCACCAAACCAACCCAACGACACUAACAAGUCAUCAAGAAGCCCCCUUAAACCCACCACCGCCUCGCCUUUGAAGAAGCGAAAGAGAAAGAGAAAGAGAAGUUCCAAAAAACAUAACAAUAUGGAUAACACAUCAGACGGCGACCCGGGUCGUGAUUCGGACUACAAAUGGCCCGUCAACCCUACACCGGACCCUCCUCCGCCCACCACUGGAUGGGGAGAGAUGAAGAAGAAAACACAGAGCAAAGCUGGCCCUUUGUCGGCACAUGAGAAAGCGAAAGUGAUGGCAAUGCAAGCAGAGCAGAAAGGUAUUGAAGCUUGCCAUGAGUUUUUCUCUGAAAAAAUAGGGGAUGAAAGUGAUGAAGAAGAGGAUCGCAAUCUCAAUGAGGAGUUUGGCGAGGAGGAUUAUUUGACUGAGGAUGAUGGGGAUGUGGAUAGUGAGGAGUUUAAGUUUCUGUUAGAAUUGUUUGUAAAGGAUGAUAAGUUGAGGAGUUUCUAUGAGAAGAACCACGAGAAUGGUGAAUUUUGUUGCCUGGUUUGUCGUGGGAUUGGGGAGAAACUUAACAAGAGGUAUAAAGAUUGUCUAGGCCUUGUUCAGCAUACGAUUUCUAUAUCGAAGACGAAAAGAAAGAGAGCUCAUAAAGCUUUGGGGCGGGUUGUGUGUAAGGUUCUGGGAUGGGAUUUUGAUCGUUUGCCAGUGAUUGUGUUGAAGGGUGAGCCACUUGGAACUUCUUUGGGGAAUUCCGGCUUUACAAAGGGUGAAGGGGCAAAUGCAAAUGCUGAAGAUAAUAAGGAAGAUAUGACUGUUGCGCAGGUAAAUGAGGGCUCUACAACUGGAAAUGAUUCUGAAAUUGUGGAGAAAGUUGUUUUAGAUGGUAAUCGGAAUGAUGGUGAACUGAUGAUUGGUGAGGAUGAAUGGGCAAAGGCAAAUGCUGAGGAUAAUAACGAAGAUAUGACUUUUUCUCAGGUAAAUAAGGGCUCUACAAGUGGAAAUGAUGGUGAAAUAGUGGAGAAAGCGGUUUUAGAUGGUAACACAUCAGACUGCAACCCGGAUUGUGAUUUGGACCGCAAAUGGCCCAUCAAGCCUACACCAUCGCCUCCUCUGCUCACAACUGGAUGGGGAGAGAUGAAGAUGAAAACAGAGAGCAAAUCUGGCCCUUUGUCGGCACAAGAGAAAGCUAAAGUGAUGGCAAUGCAAACAGAGCAGAAGGGUCUUGAAGCUUGCCACGAGUUUUUCUAUAAUAGGGAUGAAAGUGAUGAAGAAGAGGAUCACAUUCGUGAUGAGGAGUUUGAUGAGGAAGAUUAUUUGACUGAGGAUGAUGGAGAUUUAGAUAGUGAAGAGUUUAAGUUUUUUUUAGAAUUGUUUGUAAAAGAUGAUAAGUUGAGGAGUUUCUAUGAGAAAAACCAUGAGAAUGGUGAAUUUUGUUGCCUGGUAUGUCGUGGGAUUGGGGAAAAACUUAACAAGAGGUAUAAAAAUUGUUUAAGCCUUGUUCAGCAUACAAUUUCUAUAUCGAAGACGAAAAGAAAGAGAGCUCAUAGAGCUUUUGGGCAGGUUGUGUGUAAGGUUCUUGGAUGGGAUUUUGAUAGUUUGCCAGUGCUUGUGUUGAAGGGUGAGCCACUUGGAACUUCUUUGGUGAAUUCCGACCUUACAAAGGACGAAGGGGCAAAGGCAAAUGCUGAAGAUAAUAAGGACGAUAUUACUGUUGCUCAGGCAAAUGAGGCCUCUACAAGUGGAAAUGAUGGUGAAAUAGUGGAGAAAGUGGUUUUAGAUGGUAAUCGGAAUUAUGGUGAAGUGAUGAUUGGUGAGGAUGAAUGGGCAAAUGCAAAUGCUGAGGAUAAUGAGGAAGAUAUGACUGUUGCUCAGGUAGAUGAGGGCUCUACAAGUGGAAAUGAUGGUGAAAUAGUUGAGAAAGUGGUUUUAAAUGGUAAUUGGAACGAUGGUGGAUUAAUGAUUGGUGAGGCUGGAGUCGAAGCAAAUGCCAAUGAUGAUAAGGAUGGCUCGAAGUAAUCCCAACAUCAAAUUAAUAUGUGAAUUAGCUCAAAAAGAGGAAUCAGUGGUGAGAAUUAGUGAGGUUAGCUACACACCAAGAUUCUCUAAUUGAAGAUAACAGCAGUGAGCAAGGUACUAACAUUUUGGUUUCGGAGAUGAGUCAAGAGGGAGAUGUCUUUAUGAGAUGAUUGUAAUGUUUAAGCGCAUUUAAAACUUUCAUUAUCUUGUUUUCCUUUGUGGAUAUGAUUUAUCUACUAAUGAUGAAUCAUGUUUUUGCCUAGUUUUGGCAAUUCUCCCCUAUCUUAUGUGUUGAACAUGAUACUUUAUACCAAAUUCUCCUUCAUGGAA